Molecule: non-coding RNA, 46 nt
Organism: Branchiostoma floridae (Florida lancelet)
Lineage: Eukaryota; Metazoa; Chordata; Leptocardii; Amphioxiformes; Branchiostomatidae
Source: Rfam
CCCCCGGCCCUUUUCAGGGCCACCCAAAUCCCCCCGAAAGAACUGU